Molecule: non-coding RNA, 138 nt
Organism: Gossypium raimondii (Peruvian cotton)
Lineage: Eukaryota; Viridiplantae; Streptophyta; Magnoliopsida; Malvales; Malvaceae
Source: Rfam
UGUUAAAAAAUUCAUCUAUUUCUAUUGUUAAAAACUAGCAUAACUAACUUCAAAUAAUUACAUGUGGCAUGCCAUGUGUACCUCAUUCUAGCAUAUAGAGACCAAUUUUGACAUUAGAAAUGGAUAAAUUUUUUAAUA